RNA transcript from Arachis ipaensis, 809 nucleotides. It is a transcript of the gene named putative protein phosphatase 2C 52 pseudogene, with no coding region annotated. The record is from RefSeq and is a predicted model, not a curated record. NCBI's taxonomy places the organism in Eukaryota, Viridiplantae, Streptophyta, Magnoliopsida, Fabales, Fabaceae.
UUUGCCCUUUUCUUCCAUCCACCAAACUACGUCAUUUCACAAUCCCUUCUCCUCCCUCAACCUCACACUUUCACAGAAGCUCUCUCAUCUCUCAUAUAUCAUUGACGCGAGCCCAGAUUUCUCCUUCUAUCAGCAUCAUCCGAGAAGCUCGUCGUCGGUCUCCUCCGGUCUCCGAUCUCGCGUGCCUUCCUUGCCGUCGUCGUCACUAGCGGCAGUAGCCGGAACUUUCCGACCUGGACGUCGUCGCCGCUCCGUGUCUUGUCACUGCCUCGCAGUCAGUCUCGCGCGCCGUCAUUGCGCCCGUCGACGCCGACACAGAAGCAGCAGGUCCCCGACUUCCUCCUCGCCUUCAGCAACUCCUCGGCUUCCUUCGCACAACCUGGUCCCAAUUUGGUCUGGGAUAUGUUAAGCAAUGAAGAGGUGGUUGAGAUAGUAUCCACGACACCGACUCGAGCAUCAGCAGCAAGGGUUCUGGUGGAUUCUGCGGCCCGAGAGUGGAAACUCAAGUAUCCCACGUCAAAGAUGGAUGAUUGUGCUGUUGUAUGCCUUUUUUUGGAUGGUAAAAUGGAUGUGGAAUCUGAUUGUGAUGAGCAAUGCUAUUCUUCUGCAACAAUCCAAAGCAACCAUUCGGGUAAUCCAGUUGAGUCCGAUGAUGGUCAAAUGGCCGAGCCUUCUUUGCACAGAAACUUCACUGUAUGAACCUCGGAAGAAAAUCAAACCUAUGGAGGAAUAUCUGUUGAUGGUGAGGAUGGAGCUUCAGCAGCAGUAGCAGCUGAAGAUCAAAAUUGGUCGGGUUUCGAAGGUGUCAC